CAGUCGCCACGGGAAUACGUAGGUGGCAAGCGUUGUCCGGAAUUAUUGGGCGUAAAGGGCUCGCAGGCGGUUUCUUAAGUCUGAUGUGAUAGCCCCCGGCUCAACCGGGGAGGGUCAUUGGAAACUGGGAAACUUGAGUGCAGAAGAGGAGAGUGGAAUUCCACGUGUAGCGGUGAAAUGCGUAGAGAUGUGGAGGAACACCAGUGGCGAAGGCGACUCUCUGGUCUGUAACUGACGCUGAGGAGCGAAAGCGUGGGGAGCGAACAGGAUUAGAUACCCGCGUAGUCCCUGUCUCUUAUAA
This 301-nucleotide ribosomal RNA is filed under the name uncultured bacterium. RNAcentral's name for it is "partial 16S ribosomal RNA". It matches the Rfam family "Bacterial small subunit ribosomal RNA", at positions 509 to 809 of the family's 1533-position model. The record is from RNAcentral.